GUUCCAUACCUUCUUCAGUUGUUGAUGCUUUGCCUUCCUCUCUUGCAUCAUCUUCUCACGAUUAUCAUAGAAAUCAAAGUCAUCCAGUAACGACGUCUUGCAGACAUGGUCCUUGAAAAUCUUAAGCACUUGAAGCCCUGGCUCAAGUUUCACCUUAUCUCUGCAAUUUGUGACUGGUUUGUUCUCAUUGUUUUCAAGAAUGAUGUGUUUCAGUAAGCUGUUUGGAACAUCCUUCACAAUAUGCCACUUUACAGGGAAACAGCCAGUCCACUUGUCCUGUUGCCAGUGUUCCAAUGUCUUGUUAAAAUCAACACGGCCCACCAUCUCAGCAAGACCAACAAACUGACCACUUGCAUUCACAGAGAAAAGAAGGAACACAGAAGAAUCACUUGAUUUUUCCUUAGCCUCCUGAUAAGCAGCAUCAAGCUUUUUAUUACCAUUGGAUGUGCUAGCCCAAACAUUGUACUUAAUGCUCUUGUGAACAUCAUCCUCACUGUAUGAUUUGAU
This 507-nucleotide small RNA is filed under the name Oryza sativa Japonica Group (Japanese rice). RNAcentral describes it as "sRNA Os07g0170400". The record is from RNAcentral. Lineage: Eukaryota; Viridiplantae; Streptophyta; Magnoliopsida; Poales; Poaceae.